CCACUUAACAGUGAUAUCAGGGUGUAGUGCUCACUCAGUGGGAGGCCAGCAACCUGCAGUCUGCUGCUGGGCACGGUUUCGGGCUCUUGGCGUUGGCAGACGUGCCCGCACUGGAACUUUGCCGAAAAGAUGUGCUGGCAUGGCCACACUUGUACCACCUCAGCACGAGUGGUGUCUGCGAUUCAACGAAUAUAAACAAGGAUAUUGAGCUCGCGAGACGGCAGCCGACGAUGCUUGCCCAGCUGCGCGCGUGCAGGUGUCUGUACGGUUGGUUCCUGCAGCGGCGGGUGACUGGAGGUGACCGCAUGAGGUGCCGAUGGUGUGCCGCCUACUACACCGCUGGCACCGUGGGGGUACCCCUGCGCCUCCUGGUGACAUGAACGGAACUGCCAGAUGGAGACAGCGAGCCACCCGGGCAGCAGCGUUGCCCUGAGGCAGGCCCCGGCCCCGAAAACGCGCGCCCCGCGCGCACGCGCUGCGAAUGGCCGCUGGCACGGUGUAUCCCGCCCAAGCAAGGCAUGGAGCGGUGAGCAGGGCGCGGGCGACGGUGGAGAGGGGCGCGCAGAGAUGCACAGUGAUGAGCCCCAAAGUGCAUGUGUGGGGAACGUGCGGCAUCUCCUGCAUCGGACCUGGUGGGCUGAUGUGGCGCAGAUGCCGGAAGCAUGAGGGGGCCACCCCGGGCUGCACCGUCGAGCCCCCGCAGACUCCGAUGUGGAGAGUCGCCGCACCACAUUGAGGAAUGCCGCGGCCUGAGGGGACGGAGGGAGAGGCAUGACACACAGGCAGAGUGUGCGGGGCCUCCGAGGGCCCUCGCCUGCAGCUGGGCAACCGCCUCCCUGAGCUCAUCCGGCACGCGCCUAGGCCCGCCCCUAAUUACCCGCGCGCCAGACGCCAGGGUGUUCCGCCCCUCGAGCAGGACCCCGGAGGUGGCCUGCUUGGAUCAAGGCAUGCAGUCCAGCCGGGUCCGCCUGGCGCCGAUCGCGCAGCACGUAUCCGAGGAAGGACGAGAGGUGCACGCUAGAAGCACGGCCCAAUGCAGCGGCAGGACGGCUCGUCCCAGACGAGCAGGGCUGAGCCAUGGCGCAGCAGAGGUAGGAGAACUGCGAUUGCGUGUGUGCGCAUAGUUGUUGACUUGCUCGUGGCAGAAUGGCCACGCGGACAAAAAAUCUCUCAAGCUUUUUCUCUCACUGCCGCUGAUGCCACGAGUGUCUUUCGUUUGUGGAUGAAGGGAUGCAUGGCCACAGUCUCGCACAGAAGCAUGCUUGUUGUUUUUUAUGGGCCCUCCUUAGCAGGCAAGGAUGCGCAGAGAAACGCAGAAGUGGCUGCGGAAUUCGCGUGUAUGCGCUCCUGUACACUCGCACAUCUUUUUGCUGUUCUUCAUCACUUGCGUGCGGUUGCGUCUUGUCGUGUUUCGGACUUCUUUUCUACUUCCCAUCGGUGGUUGUGUCUUUUUUCGCGUUCUUGUCACUUCUUCGUUGAAUGUGCGUCUGCGUCUGCGUCUCUCUCUGUGUGUUGUCGACACACGCGGUUGUUGUGGCUGUGCGUCUCUCUCGCUUACUUCUCCUCUUCUUUCCUUCUUCUGCCCCGCUCUUCUCCUUUUUCGUUUAACUUCUCAAAGGUGAGAGAGAGAGAGGGGGGAUGAGGAGGAGAGGUGGUCAGGGGUGCAGGCCAUCCUGCAAACGUUUAAUCUUCUCUACUGACAUAACUUUGCCUGUGUACGUGUGACAGUUGCUCUUGCUGGACUGUCUUUCUUUCUCACACGCACACACGUCGCCUCUCUUGUCGGGUGCUUGGCGUGCAGCCGACGCCUCGUCAUCUUUUUGGACCUUCGCGUGUCUGAUCCGCUCGUUCAUUUCUCUGUGUUUUGGCCCUGUUCGUUUUUUUGUUUCGUUUUUUUUUCACCUCCGUUUCCGUUUUUUUUUCCCCGCUCUUCUUUGCUACCCGUCUUCUUUUCUUGGUGAGUGUGUUGGGGCAUCGGUGUAUAUGCGCUUGCGCGUCUGCUCUCCCUCCAUCAUCAUGUGUCCCUGCCUCGGCCUCUCCCACUCUCCCCGUUCUUCUCGCCGAGGAAGGAUGGUGAUGCCAUUCAUCUCAAAUCUGCGCGUCGUUUUCCUUGCUAUUCUUCGUGUUUGUGCAAACUUAGCAAGCCCGUCAAACGCCGCGUCUCAUGUUUGUGGGGCCACCUAUGCAGAGCCUAGGGGACUGUUUCUCGCGUCUUUGUCUUGCCGAGUAGUAGGCAGCGCUGAUGCGCGUGUCGCGCAUCCGCACAUCACUGCGGCCGCCUUGCAAGCGCAUGAGCGGGCGCGCACCUCUUAAAGAAAGCGCCCUUCUUACGUGGCAGAACAAACAGUGAAGCUUGCAUUCCCCAUAAACGACGGAAAGGGACGAAAACAAGAGCAGCAUGGGGAUUCAGCACGCACGGAGACACCAGAGAGGGAGAGCGAUGUGUGCGCUAUCUCUCAUGCACCUUUCUGCCGCACGCGACUGCUUGGAGCCAAUGUGCCAUCGCCCUUCUCCCCCUCCAUAUGCGGCUUCUCUUUCGACCUUUGGCCGAGGUAGAUGAGGGGAGAGGCCAGCCUGUGCUUGUGUCUCGGUUUUUAGGAGAGGGAAGGGUAAUGUGGCUUCGCGCACCUGCUCACCACCUCUGCGUUAGCGGUACGCCUUUCCACUAUUGCAGUCGUGUCUGUGUCUCCGCCUCCACGGUACAGCUGGCAUUGCGUUCCACGUGCGCGGCUGCCUCGCCGCGGCCGACGCUCUUAGUGGUGCUCGCGCGUUUCACAUUACCUCUCGCUGCGGCUUUGCAUGUGGAGGCUUCGCCUUUUCUCAUCGCCGUCUCAUCCCUUGCUCUUUGCUUGUACGAGUGCCCGGCUUUAUGUUGCUUCAUGCCUUCUCGUUGGUGCGUUGUUGCCGCAUCACACACACACACACACACACACACGUACACGUGUGAGAACGCCAACAG
RNAcentral lists this unclassified non-coding RNA (2959 nucleotides) under Leishmania donovani. RNAcentral's name for it is "gene:unknown". Lineage: Eukaryota; Euglenozoa; Kinetoplastea; Trypanosomatida; Trypanosomatidae. The record is from RNAcentral.